GUGGAUUAGAUACCCUGGUAGUCCACGCCGUAAACGAUGGGCACUAGGCGUCGGGGGGAGCGACCCUCCCGGUGCCGUCGCUAACGCAGUAAGUGCCCCGCCUGGGGAGUACGGCCGCAAGGCUGAAACUCAAAGGAAUUGACGGGGGCCCGCACAAGCGGUGGAGCAUGUGGUUUAAUUCGAAGCAACGCGAAGAACCUUACCUGGGCUUGACAUGCAUGGGAAAGCCGGUGGAAACAUCGGUUCCUCUUCGGAGUCCAUGCACAGGUGCUGCAUGGCCGUCGUCAACU
This 290-nucleotide ribosomal RNA is filed under the name uncultured bacterium. Its description in RNAcentral is "partial 16S ribosomal RNA". It matches the Rfam family "Bacterial small subunit ribosomal RNA", at positions 773 to 1060 of the family's 1533-position model. The record is from RNAcentral.